AUGCACCAUGUUAACAUCUCAUCCUACACCCCAUUCAAGCUCUCCAUCGACUCGGGAAACUACUCGAAGUGGUGCCACCUCUUCUGGUACGUACUGUGCAAGUACCGUGUCGAGGACCACGUCCUGGAGGAGGUGGAGCCGCUGCAAGCAGACGCGAUGUGGCGCAGCGACGACAUCACGAUCGUCCUGUGGGUGUACGGGACGAUCUCCGAUGAACUCUACGACACCAUUCAGUCGCCGGAGAGCACCGCGUUCCAUCUCUGGCAGCAGCUCGAGAUCUUCUUCCGCGACAACGCCGCCGGCCGCGCCGUCCACAUCGGCGCCGACUUCCGCGCCACGAUCCAAGGCGACAUGAUGGUGGCCCAGUACUGUCGUCGUCUCCAGCAGCUAUCCUCCGCCAUGGCCGACAUGGGGGAGCCGGUCACCGACUGCUCGCUCACGCUCCAGCUGAUCCGCGGGCUGAACCGGCGCUUCCACGUCAUGGCGACUCUCCUUCCCAUGCAGGAACCGUUCCCGACUUUCCUCCAGGCCCGGUCACGGCUGUUCUCGAAGAGAUCGCCAUCACCGAGCGCGAGCGGGCCGUGGGCGCCACCGCACUCGCCGUUGGACACGGCGGCGGCUCCUCCGGUGGGUCGUCCUCCGGUGAUCGCGCGCCUCCUCCAUCACCAACCGACAAGGGCAAGUCUCCCUCCACUUGGAGUCCGUCGGCCGAUCGGCAGCGCGGUGGCCGCGGUCGUGGCCGUGGGCGUGGCCGCGGAAUGCCCGACGGUGGUCGCGGGCGUGGCCAGCCUGGGCAAACGCCCUAGAUGGGGUACUUCGCCCCGUUCGGCACCCCGCUACCCUCGCCCCAACAGUGGCGUGCUCCCUGGACUCCGCCGAACGCCGCCGGCGUCCUAG
This 897-nucleotide ribosomal RNA is filed under the name Triticum aestivum (bread wheat). RNAcentral's name for it is "partial small subunit ribosomal RNA". Lineage: Eukaryota; Viridiplantae; Streptophyta; Magnoliopsida; Poales; Poaceae. The record is from RNAcentral.